UGGCUGGCAGCGCGGCUGCCCCGCGCCUCGCAGGCGCGGCGGCUUGAGGCCGGGGCAAGCGUUCCGCUGCGCGGCCAGCCGC
RNAcentral lists this transfer RNA (82 nucleotides) under compost metagenome. RNAcentral's name for it is "tRNA-Ala". The record is from RNAcentral.